GCAGGAGUUGGAAGCUGAAGAUCAAACCUUCACAAGUCAGACGCAGAAGCUUCUUUCUUUCAUUAACCCACUUGAAAUAUUGGGGUCGAGAGAGAUCGAAGAAAAAUUAAAAGUCCUCUUGCAGGAUCUAGAUCCCUUAGUUGAACGAAUGGCAGCCCUUGGUUUGAACAACCGCAAUGUAGAAAAUCCACCAUCGCAUAGAACACCAACAACUUCUCUCGUGGAUGAAUCUGGUGUUUAUGGUAGAGAUGAUGACAGGGAAGCAAUACUGAAGUUGCUUCUAUCAGAGGAUGCAAAUGGAGAAAACCCUGGUGUCGUCCCCAUUAGGGGAAUGGGCGGGGUUGGUAAAACCACGCUUGCUCAGCUUGCUUCCAUUCUCUCCUUUUCUCCUUAUCCGCAUCUUCAAAAAUUCAAAAUCUUUUCCCCACCUCUUUCUCUAAUCUAUUCCCCUUCUCCAAAAAUUCAAAAUCCAAAAACUUUUGAUUUAUUUAUUUUAUUAUCACUUAACUUUGAUUAAAAAACUUUUCUUGAAGUUUACUUCCAUCAAAGAUCUUUUAUAGAUAUAAAAAGAAGAGAUAAUAUAAAAUUCAUCCGCGUAUUGGAAUCACAAUUCAGAAUCAAGUUAAAGCGGCCAAUGUCACUCGAGAGAGUAGGCACUUGCAAAUCUGCUAAUAAUUAUUGGAGCAUCACCCUUCCGCACAAUCAACAGAAAGUCAUCAUCUUGAGAACCCACAGCAAAGAGUUCAUUUUUUUGCAGUAGAUACGUAGCUAUAUUAACAACGAUACUUCCAGCAUGCACAAAUGGGACUUCUUGAUGGUUACGCUGCUAAAGACAUUUACAAAUCCCCAUCAAUACUGGUGUUUAUUCCUCAUGAUGAUCCAGUGAGCUGACAAUAAAAGAAAACCUCGGCAUUACUAGUAAAUCGUCACUGCAAGCAUGGAAGAGAUUCAGGUAGGAAUUACCCUUGUCUUCAUUGAGAGGCUUUAACCUCCCUUGUCAGCAGGCCCAUGGUUCGAUGCAUCCUCUGAAGCGUCUAAGCAAGGAUUGCUUUUACACUGACUUACAGGCUGAGAAAGUUGGGACCCCUUUUGCGAAAAGUUUGGUUUACCUUUCGGAGUCUCAGACAGGCUUCCCGUUGACAGCUUUGCUAGGCCCAUUGUCUUGUGCUCACGCGGGAGCUUUGUUGAAAAAGGUGAUUCAGGUGUAUCAGGAUGCUUCCCAGGAAUAUCCAUCGGUCUAUGAAACAGCAAAUGAGCCACAGUCCGGUCUACCGGAUUGGUCUCUGUUUCCACCUCAGGCAUCUUAACCACCCUGCAGUAUACUCAUAAAAUCCAUGAGGAAAAUGACAGGAAACUUUGAGAUUGCCAUACUCUAAACAAAUUGAUAAAGACUUGAUUAAUAAUUUUGUGCAAACAAAUUGAAUGAUUUGAAAUGGGAAGGACGAGAUGUAAAGGAACAAACCCAUUGGAACAAGAAACAAUCACAUUGUCGCUUACAACAAAAAAUCGAGUUUCAGAUCAAAACAGCUUAUGGUUUUGGCUGGAAGUGUCCCAUUUAGACAUUGAUGAGCCGAUUAGAAGAUGAUUUGAGUUCUUAAAUUUCUUGCUUAAAAUGUAAUGUAUCAUGAUUCUGCAGAUGAUCAUUAAAUUAGAAGGGAAAUUUAAUUUUGCCCUGUUUAUCUAAAGUUGUGCAAGUUCUCUGCAUUGAUGAUUCCAGUGAAUUUGUACAGAUCUUGUUUUCCUUCUAUUUGUCCUUGAAUAAACUUAUUGCACUUGUUGAACAAUCUUUGUUUCUCUCUCUUAGUUAAAUCUAGUAAAAUUUAUCAUGUAUGUUGUGCCACUCAUUUAGACUUGGAUGUGCGUGUUUAGCUCUUCUUUUCGGAUUAAGGUGAUUAUGCACAAAUUCACUGGAAUCAACAUUGCAGAAAACUUGCAUAGAUUUUGUUAAUAUUGGAAAAAUUAAAUUCGUUUUCUAAUUAAAUGAAAAUCUCUCCUAAAUAUUAUGCUAUUUGAAUUGUCACCUCAUGACUACUUGCUGCACUGCACUCAUGAAUGCUGCACCAGGGUAAAGCUACAAAUGUCAGUUUAAUAUCUGCCUCUACCUAGGUUGGCCUACAUACAAUACCAAAGCUUCUCUCAACUAAAUCAAGACAUGAUGACCAGCACUCACAAUCAUAACAGAACCAGUGGAAGCGAACUACUACAUAUUUGAUCAACAAGGUCAAAUUCAGUCAAGUUUUUAAGGAAAUCCAGUGAAAGAGGAACCUAAAAUUUUCUGUUUAGAUUUUCUUCUACUUCUAAGAACAAGCGCUGCCUUAAUUGAAUUGUUUCAGUCACUAUUCCUCCAUUGUAAAUAGAGGAUACCGUUUUCAAUAUUUAUUUCCAGAGUGAGAAUGGAAAACAGAAAAUGGUGAUGGCAUUAAAAGAUCCUAAUUUAACAUUUCCAUAGAGCAAAAAUGUUUUUUAAAAAAGAGAGAGGAUAGAUUAAAUUUGAAAACAGAAGCAUGAGAAAUGCAUUACCUUAACCAACCUUCUUUGACUACUAUUGUUUGUACUGCCAGUAUCACUAGCAUAAUGCCUUUGCAUUGCACUUUGAGCCAGCCGGAACAAGCUAUCCCGAAUACAAAGUCUAAUUCUGACAUCCAACUGUUGUAAAACAUUGGUUUGGAAUCGUAACCAAGCACAAAUUAUUUAGCAGGGAAAGAAUGCAAUAGUAGGUGAAGCAUACCUUUGAAAUAAUAUCUUGAAGCCUGUAGAGUACUGUGUCCUCCAUUGAAUAAUCAUUAACCGCCAGAGAGACUGUAUUGGAAUCGUCUUGCUCAAUAGGUGAGUUUGGGUCAAAUGAAGCAAGUGUACUUAGAUCCUCUACUUCAAGGUCAGCUCCUUCAACAUGCUGAAUUUGAUUUUCUUGGGAACACUUUUGAUGAACAAGCUGCUGCUGCUGUUUCUGAAUGGCAAGCAUUGCCUGAAUUUGUUGCCGCCUCCUUAAUUUUUCAAUCUUUUCCUGAGGUGUCAUUCUCUGGGGUUUCACUGGACAGUCAGCUAACUUGUUUAUAGGAUUUGCAUUGCCUGAAACUUCAUAACCAGAAAUUUUAGGUCGAUGAUUAAAUGACUAGAAAUUUUGUUGGAAAGUCAGAAAACUUUAACAGGAUUCGCAUUACCUGAAGAAACUUCAUAACCAGAAGCUAAAGGUUGAUGCUUAAAAUCCCCAGACUGAAUGUGGGACAACCCAGGCAUAGAAUAUGGAUUUGUAAUACUCCCGUAGGCAGAAGGGGCCACAAAUGGAUUGGAUAUCUGCUGGUACUGCAACUGCUCGGAACCCUGUAGCUGCUUCUGUUGGCUGAGAAUUGAAGGGGGAGAAGAUUGCAUAAUUUGGGGUUCUAAAUGAUCCUUAAGUUGACAGGCUGGGAUUCCAGAUGAAGUCCAGUUUCCAUAAAAAUCUUGGUAUGAUUUCAGUUCACCUUUUUCUUCCAGUUUUUCCCGACCUUUCAAGAUCUUCUUUUGCCUGUAAGUCUGAUCACAGAACUAUAAACAUAUAAAUAGACAAAUUACUUAGAAUAGAUCAACGUUUUAACCAUCUAGACCUGCAGGGGAGAGUGACUAAGGCACAGUUAGUAUUUUAACUCAGUACAUGGUUUGUAAGGAUAAAUUCAAUGUUAUUUUUUUUUUUUAAUUGUAACUUACGAUCCAAAGGGCUUCUAUUGUUCAGAAUAUAUUGAGGUAUUAGCUAAACUAUGCCAAGCAAACAGAAUUUGCAUGUCCCUGGGAAGAGUGGGUGUCAUACUAGAAAUAUAAAUUACUGAUGCCUCCUGAAUUUUGACAUGCUAUUCCUUUCUCCUUCCUACUAACAGAAAACCAGACAAUGGCUUUACUUUAGGCAAUCGAUAUCAUGGUUAAGUCAUGGAUUUGACAUCAAGGAUAACUUAAUUGAUGCAUUAUUGAAGUGAUGACUAAAUCAUGUAAAUCCAUAUUCACCCAACAUCCAAGUUUAAUCUCAUUCCAAAAAAUAAAACUAAUAGCAUGAAUUAUGAAGAGACGAAGAGGAAUUUAAAUAAUAUAAUUUCUCUUUUCUGUCGCCAUUUUCCAUUCCAGAGAAGUACUCAGGAAGUCUUAAUAAGUUCAAGUGUAAGGUAACUUUUACCCUUCCCAGCUCUAAUUAGGUUUCGCUGUCCCUCCAAUCUAAUUUAAGAUCUAAUAUGAGGAAACCACACUGUAUUAGUGAAAGGAUCACAAUAUCAAGAUUUUCCAACUUCAAUUCACUGAUAUAACUUUUCUUGAAUCCUGGACAAAAGAACUUAGAACAUCAAAAGAUCAUAGCAGGAUUCUAAAAAACAAAGAUUGUAUUUGGUGCCUAUUGAGUCUAAAAGUUAUCUUGGAUGAAAAGGGUAAAAAUCAGUAAUAUGUCUGGUUCAGUAUCAAGAUUUUGAAAAUAUCAAAAGGAAGAAAAAAAAAGGUACCUUGUUUGCUAAUUCAUUUGGAAAAGCACCAUUUUCCUCUGUCAGUUGAGAGUUAGCCGCCGUGUUCUUUCCCACAACAGCCAAAUCUGUCUGCAAAAGCACAAAAAAAUAAAAUAAAAAAUGCUAAGCUUCUCUCAGCUCCUGCACUUGAGCAUGGGGCAUUAAUAAGUGAACUCAUUACUGAAAAUUGAGUCGCUAUACCUGCUCCUUCAGUAUAGGCUUGUUUUUACCUUCAUCAUAUUCUACAUGAUCAAGGCUUGCCUGAGUAUUCUGCAGACCAUGAGAUGCAGGGUCGUUCAUUUUUCCAUAGCCAAGGGCAAACAGCUGGUCCUCUUCUCUCGAAGCCACAGAUAUUGGAAAGGGCUUUACCGGGCUGUUAGUUGUACAUUUUGAAGAAGACCAUAGCUCAUCAGCAUUACCAAGAUUUACAUUGCCAAAUAUUGGGUCAUCAUUGCUGCAAAAUCACCACUUGUGAGGAUAUUGAGUCAGAUGGUUAUCACUGUUCUCCAACAGAAUCAAGAUAAAAUAUAAGAACAUUAGUGAAGAACAGAAAUGCAGGAAAGCCCUUCCACAAUUGAACAAGCUCACCAAUUCCUUACAAAUCCAGUGCUGCUAUAUUACAUUCUUUCUGCCAUUUAUACUUGUAAUUGAGGAUAUUGUGCUGCUAAAAACUCGCAUCCUUCAGGUUCUUUUCACAAUUAACAAAAUUAAGCCAGGAUCAAAAACCAUAAAUUUUCAAACAACUAGUCUUUUUUGUUAGUGUUGCUUUCAGCAGACAGCACUUGUUUGGAAAAGGAUAUAGAUCCAAAACAGAAGAAACUACAAUUAUUAAAAGAGUCUGGUUGUUUUUCCUUCACAACAACACUCUUGUAGUACAUGAUUUUUUUCUUCUGAAAUGAAAAUAGGCAGUGAGCAUAAUUAUUUUGUCCGCGAAACUUUCACUUCACAGUCAGUAAUAAGAAUUUGUUCAAAUUAUCAGAAUAAUGAGAUGUACAAGCUUCCAUAUCAGGGUGCUGCUGACCAUCUUUCAUUUAGGUGCAGAAAGUAAGAAAUGGUAACUGUGCUUUACCUAAAAAUUCGAUCAAGAUCAUCAAAGCUUCCAAUGCUAGCCCAGCCAUAAUCAACAAAAUCACCUUGCUCUUCACCUUCAUGAGGAUUUUGAAAAAUCUCAGUGUCCUUAUCAAGAUGAUCUGUCUCUGCGUUUUAAAAAAAAGAAUUAGAAUGACAGUAGCAUGUAAGAUACUAUGCUAUGAAAACAUCAUGCAACUCGUCACCCUAUCUACAUUUUUUCCUUGUAAUUGAAAUCUCAUCACCUGCUGAUGAAUCGAGUUUGGUAAUCUCAGUUAGAUUGUUAGAGAUUGAAGUUUCCAAGGAAUCCUGCUCAGUUUUGGCAGCAUUACGUGAGGACAAGUUAGGCCAUCGGUCCAUGUCAAGUCCUAAGGAAGAAGUUCCUUCACUUGUGUCAACAUUCGAAAUGCUCUCCAGCUUUCUGCCAUCAGUAUCAACUUUAGCCCCGGGUGCCUUCUGCUCACUAGAUUUAAUGGUGCUAGCUUCUUCACUCGAUUCCUUUUUCUUGCAAUAAUCUUCACUUGCCUCUGGAUAUGGCACGAUAUGGUCAUCACUAUCUUCAGCCUCACCCCAUAUUAUGUUCGUAAGCUGAAAAGAUAGUGAGUAAGCAUCAUCACUAAAUGUGGGAUACAUGAGAAGAAUGAAACAGUCACAAGUUAAUCUCUGGGUAACUUGGCAAGACUAUUUUCCCCAACAUAAUAUUCUGAAUAAUACACUAAUUAAUCAGUUCAGUUCCUUGUAAGGUGUGCGUGGGCACAUAUGAGCACACAUGUGUGUACGAGAGUUGCUAGUGUCAAUGAGUUGGGAACAAAAUAUUUAAUUGAGUCAUGCAGAAAAUACUAAAAUGUUCUAAAUUGUGUUAAAAAUAAAAUAGAAAGUAGAAGCCAUUGGCAUGAUUCAUUUAAAAAUUUCUACAAAAUUAAAAAAAGAAAACAAAACAAAAGGAGGAGAUGGCCCAAAGCAUGCUCUCAAUAAGAUGAAGUAAGACCUAAAGCUUCAUUGCAUGUACAGAGCACUUUGGAAACUUCAGUCUGGACAAAUAAAACCAAGGCAAAGUAUCUUCUUUUUGGAACUAAUUUCUUCACAGUAAGAUAUAACAUCCAACGCUACCUGCAUCACUUUCUCAUGGUCCUCUCUGACUCGAGUGAUCAUAAACCUUCUCAAAUCCCAUUUAAAGAAGAUUCCCUUUCUCACUUUUCGUUGGUAUUAUUUGACACCAAGAUCACAACCAAACAUUACCAAUAAGUGUGUCACCGGAGAAAGAAACUUAGGUGCCCUAAUACCAUAAAUAAAACCUAUUCAAUAAAAAUUAGACAAUAUUUUAUAGCUGUACAUCUAUAAUCAAAGUAAAAUGCCCAAAACUCUGAAUCCUGAAUAUGUGAAUCAAAGUAAAAGGCCCUAACUGAUGCACCAUCAGCAGUCUCCUACUUUGACUUGUGAUUAAUGACCUAGCAGUUCACUUCAACAACAUUAGUGAACAUAAGUUUGAAUUUCAGACCCAGCAAGAAGAAGUACAUUUUCCAGUAGGCAUGCAUAUCACCUUUUUAUCAAUAUCCAUGGAAGACAAACCAAGCAAUAUCAAGUUUUUUUCUGCUGGAUAUCCAAUAAAAAAUACCUCAUAGUGUGAACAUCUUUAAGAAGGAGGAUAUCACAUUGCACCCCAUCAACUGAUCCACAAAUAAAUUUGCAUCUUUCCAUCAGUUCCAAGCUCUUUGUAAGGAAAAGGGAGGGAAGUGCCUUCAAAGAUACCUUCUUCAUAGCUUCUUUAGAUAUGAAUCCACACGGCUUUCGUAAUCACCAAUCACUAUGCGCAGCUUCUCUUAUCAUCACAAGCUCCAUCUCUUUCCACGUCCUAACUUCAUUCGAUGAACUCUUCCCUCAGUUCCCAAGAAAAAUUAUAUUCAUCCCUCCUGCAGCCUUUUCCCUGCAUAUUUCCACCAGCUUCAUAGCUAUAUGGCCUGUGAAAACUGUCGUUGUUGCAGUGAUUCUGAACAACAAAAAUAACAAAGGAUAAUGCUUGUGUUUAAGAAGAGAUUGAUGAAUGAAAAGCUUAAAUACUUUAUUCAUAACUGCAGCUCAAUUUAUAGAGCUGAUACAUAACAAACUCCUACGAUCAUGGUCCUACAUUCAAGCCAUGAUCAAUUGAUAAUGGAAAUAACAGAGCUGCGAAAUAGCAGCAAGAACAAGAGAAUAGGAACAGAAUUGACUAAAUCAAAAAUUAAAGAAAGAAUAAAAUUCCAGCUCAGCAGUCCUGAACAUUAUUUCUAACACUCCUCCUUGUUUAGGAGCUGCAAACUCCCAACUUUGUUCUCAGAAAUUCGAAUUUGUUGACUGGCAGUGGUUUGGUGAAAAUAUCAGCUGCUUGUUCUUCAGUUUUGCAGUAAAUAAGAAUGAUACUCCAAUCUUUCUGCACCUCUCUCAAAAAGAAUAAUUUGAUGUUGAAGUGCUUGGUUUUCCCGUGAAACACAGGAUUAUUAGAGAUGGAAAUGGCAGCUUGAUUGUCAACUAGAAUUUCUGUGCUUUCCUUUUGCUCCAGGUUAAGAUCAGAUAAAAUUUUCCUCAGCCACAAAGCUUGAUUGACAGCAGCUGUUGCAGCCACAAACUCAGCUUCAGCAGUGGAUUGGGCUACGGUUUCUUGCUUUUUUGAAUUCCAUGAAAACACACCAGAACCUAAAGAGAAACAGUAGCCUGAUGUGCUCUUCAAGUCAUCAAUUGAGCCUCCCCAAUCACUGUCAGAGUACCCGACCAGUUUGAACUCUCUACUUCUUGUGUAUCUUAUGCCAAAAUUGCAGGUUCCUUUGACAUAUCUUAUCACUCUUUUAGCAGCCUUGAAAUGCAAUUCACUAGCACAAUGCAUGAAUCUAGACAAGAUACUCACAGCAUUCAAAAUAUCAGGCCUAGUUGCAGUGAGAUACAUCAAGCAUCCAACAAUUUUUCUGAAUUGUGCUUGAUCAACCUUCUCGGCUCCAUCUUCUUUACAUAGCUUCUCCUUUUGAUUCAUAGGAGUGCUUACUGCUUUGCAAUCUUCAAGUUUGAACUUUUUGAGGAUUUCUUUGGCAUACUUCUUCUGACAUAUGAACACUUCAUGUUCAGCUUGCUUAACUUCCAUUCCAAGAAAAAAGGACAUCAAACCCAAAUCUGUCAUCUCAAAUACACUCAUCAUCUCUUGCUUGAACGUCUCCACAUUAUUGUUGUUAUUUCCUGUUACAAGCAAAUCAUCAACGUAAAGUGAGAUGAUAAGGAUGUUAUCACCAUUUUGCUUGAUGUAAAGAGUCGAUUCAGAGAGGCUUUUAGUGAAUCCCAAGUGCUGCAAAUGUUCAUCGAUUCGGCUGUACCAAGCUCUUGGAGCUUGCUUCAAUCCAUAUAGUGCCUUCUUAAGAAGACAGACUUUGUCCUCCUCUCCUUCAUUUGCAAAGCCUUCUGGUUGCUCAGUAUAGAUCUCCUCCUGCAAAACACCAUUUAAAAACGCUGACUUGACGUCCAUUUGAUACACCUUCCAAUUCAGUUGUGCUGCAAUGGCAAGUAGCAGCCUGAUAGUGUCAAGUCUUGCUACCGGUGCAAACGUGUCUGAGUAGUCCACGCCAAAGAUUUGUGCAUAACCCUUCACCACUAGCCUGGCUUUGAGCUUAUUGAUUGAGCCAUCAGCGUUGAGUUUUGUUCGAUACACCCAUUUUACACCGAUUACAUUUCUGUUUUGAGGUCUGUCAACCAACUCCCACGUGUUGUUUCUCGUGAUCAUGAGAAGCUCCUCCUUCAUCGCAGCAAGCCAAUUUUGAUCUAGCUUGGCUUCUUCAAAGUCUGCUGGUUCACACACAGCAAUGUUGCACCUUUGAUACACAUCAAGGAGUGACCGUGUGCCUCUAACAGGAGUGUCAUCUGUCAUGUUGAUGUCCCAAUCUUCCAUGCUUUGAUCAUCUGUGUCUGAAACAAGAUAAUUGCCUUUUGGAGAGGCUGAAUCUUCUUUGAUUGCAUCGUUCCAAUCCCAUUCUUCAUCUUCCAGGAAUUGGACAUCUCUGCUUAUAACGAUUUUUCCAGUUUGUGGCUGGAAAAUCUUAUAAGCCUUUGAAACUAAGCUGUAGCCAACAAAAAUGCCUGGAAGUGCUUUCUUGUCAAGUUUAUCCCUCUUGACCUGUGGAACAAGGGUGAAGCACAAACAUCCAAAUACCUUAAGAAAAUUCAGAGAUGGUUUGUAACCAUACCAUGCCUCAAAGGGUGUUUGAUCCUUCAAGGCUCUUGUAGGCAGUCGAUUUUGCAAGAACACAGCAGUGUUUGCAGCCUCUGCCCAGAAUUUCUUUGGUAAAUUCUUCUCAUGUAGCAAGCAUCUUGUCAUUUCCAAUAUGAACUUGUUUCGCCUCUCACUAACUCCGUUUUGCUGAGGAGUAUACGGAGUUGUUAGCUGAUGAUGAAUGCCUGCCUCCUCACAAAAAACGUUGAAGGCAUUGGAAGUGUAUUCCUUGCCAUUGUCUGAUCUGAGGGCUUGAAUUUUGCAGCCACUUUCAUUUUCAACUUUGGCCUUGAAAUUCCAGAACACCUGUGCUACCUCUGACUUGUGCUUCAAGAAGAAAAUCCAGCACAUUCGGCUGUAAUCGUCAAUGAAGACAGCAUAAUACAGACUCCCAUUUAGAGAGAGUGUCCUUUGUGGUCCUGCAAUGUCAGUAUGAAUCAAUUGCAGCUUCCUUGUUGCUCUCCAUGUGGCUUCUGGAAAGGGCUUCCUGUUUAGCUUGCCAGUGUGACAAGUUCUGCAGCUGGAUAUGUGAUCAUCAAGUGCUGGGAAAUCCUUAGCCAUCAUCUUGGAUUUCAUAAGCAUCAGCCCUCUAUGAUGAUAGUGCCCGAGCCUCUUGUGCCAAAUAUCUGUGAUAUUUUCUUUAAUUGGGAAAGCAGUAUGCUCCUCCUCCAAUGGAUUUAGAGCAAAACUCUUCCCUUUCAUGAUUAUUUUGAAAAUAUCAUGACCAUUCACAUCUUUGAUCAAGCAGCAAUUGUUUUCAAACACUACUUUAUAACCCUUCUCAAUAAGCUGACCAACACUGAAUAAAUUUUGAUUUAUACCAGGGACAUACAAUACAUCAGAGAUGAACUUAGUACCUGAGCAAGUCAAGAUUGCCACGGUUCCCUUUCCUUCAACAACAAGGUAUUCUCCAUUUCCAAUUCGAACCUUUGAAGUUGUUUGUUUCAGCUCCUUGAAUAUGUUUCUGUCAUGUGUCAUGUGGUUGGUGCAACCACUAUCAAUGAGCCAGCUUUCACUUGAGUCAUUUCUGGAAAUGCAAGUGGCCACAAACAAUUGAUCUUCUUCUUCUUGAUCAGCAAUUUGAGCUUCUUCACCAUGCUGUUGAAUUUUGUUUUUGCAGAUGACAGCCUCGUGCCCCAUUUGAUUGCAUUUGUUGCACUUAGCUUCUGGUCUUCUCCAACACUUAAAAUGUGGAUGUGAUCUCCUUUUACAAUGCUGGCAUGGAGGAAAAGGUCCUUUUUUGUUUCCAGUGUUGCUCCUUGUUGAAAUUCCUGGAAUCACCUGAUGAUGCUUGACUGCUUCCAUUCUUCUUGUAAUUCUUUCCUUUUUCUCUAUGCUUGACGAAUAGAGCUCCUUCAAUCUCAUCUUCCUGUCUCAUGAUCCUCCUUUGCUCCUGAGCUUGUAAUGCAUUUAGCAUUUCUGUCAAAGUAAUUUUUGACAUAUCCUUGGUAUUUUCCAAGGAUGUAAUUGUAGCUUCAAAGAUUUCAGGAAUUGUUACAAGAAUUUUUUGAACAAUUCUUGACUCAGGCAGGGACGAGCCAAGUAAACUGAUUCGGCUUGCAAUAUUAAGCAGCCUGUCAGAGUACUCUUUGAUGGAUUCAGUCUUCUUCAUCUUCUGCAACUCGAAAUCACGCAUCAAGUUCAACACUUGCAUACCUUGAAUUCUUUCAUCCCCUUCAUACUCAGUCUUGAGAAACUCCCAUAUCUCCUUUGCUGUUUUCAGAGACAUGAUUCGAGUGAAAAUGGUGGAUGCUACUACAGCAAACAAGCACGCCUUUGCCUUUGAUUUUUUUGUCUUCUUCUCCUUCUGUGAUUUGAUCUGCACCAUGGUGGGAUUGUUUGGAAGUGCAGGGAUUUCAUAAUCUUCUUCCACUGCCUCCCACAAAUCCAAAGCCUCUAAGUAUGUCUCUAUCCGUACUGCCCAAAACUGGUAAUUGUCACCAUUGAACACUGGUGGAGCAAUUGAUGAGAAGCUUACUUCUGUCUCCAUGGGUUACAACACAGAUCCCUUUAAAUCAAGAUGCUCUGAUACCAAUUGUCGUUGUUGCAGUGAUUCUGAACAACAAAAAUAACAAAGGAUAAUGCUUGUGUUUAAGAAGAGAUUGAUGAAUGAAAAGCUUAAAUACUUUAUUCAUAACUGCAGCUCAAUUUAUAGAGCUGAUACAUAACAAACUCCUACGAUCAUGGUCCUACAUUCAAGCCAUGAUCAAUUGAUAAUGGAAAUAACAGAGCUGCGAAAUAGCAGCAAGAACAAGAGAAUAGGAACAGAAUUGACUAAAUCAAAAAUUAAAGAAAGAAUAAAAUUCCAGCUCAGCAGUCCUGAACAGUAUUUCUAAUUUCUGCUGGAUAUCCAAUAAAAAAUACCUCAUAGUGUGAACAUCUUUAAGAAGGAGGAUAUCACAUUGCACCCCAUCAACUGAUCCACAAAUAAAUUUGCAUCUUUCCAUCAGUUCCAAGCUACUUUGUAAGGAAAAGGGAGGGAAGUGCCUUCAAAGAUACCUUCUUCAUAGCUUCUUUAGAUAUGAAUCCACACGGCUUUCGUAAUCACCAAUCACUAUGCACAGCUUCUCUUAUCAUCACAAGCUCCAUCUCUUUCCACGUCCUAACUUCAUUCGAUGAACUCUUCCCUCAGUUCCCAAGAAAAAUUAUAUUCUUCCCUCCUGCAGCCCUUUCCCUGUAUAUUUCCACCAGCUUCAUAGCUAUAUGGCCUGUGAAAACGACUCCCAAAUUAAAACACUUGAGAAGCUCUAAUAGUUUUCUUAUUAUUUCUUCACUCUUUGUCAGUGUGCCACAUUCAAAUACUACUGAUCGAUUCUUCCUCGUCACAACCACUCACUUUCCCCUAAAUCCCAUACCAACUAAAUCAAUAUCUCUUAUCACUUAUCAAAACUCCAUCUAAUUUCCAAAUGAAUCACACCAUUUGAACACUUUGCCAAUUCCUAAUUCCUUCAAAAUUUUCAUCCAUCAAAAAAAAAACUGCAAGUCAUACUUUUUCACUCUAACACAGUUCUCCUUAUAAUCAAUCUUCCAAUUUAACCAUACUCUUGCCUCUAAAUCUGGCACGCAAAGCUUCUACAUAACCUUCCAACGUUACUUCUUGCCUCCCAACAAGGGUGGAGGCAUGCAUGGGCUAGGGUGGGCUCUAGCUCAGGUGAAGAUUUUAUUAAUAUUUUUGUUCUAGUUUUAUGUAAAGAAAAUUUGUAAUUCUCAAUUUACGUGGAGCCUUCUAAUAUGAUGCUUUAACUUGAGUUAAAAUUUUAUAAUUUUUGAAGAAAUUCAGAAAUUUGAUAAAAAACAAAAUCAUAAUUUGACCAAUUUUAUGUUAUUGGGUGUAAUUUUCAAUCUGACCAUCAGAUUGAGCUAAAAUUUUACAAGGAAUCUUAAAAUAUAUUAAAUAAAAUCUGGUUUAAAUUUUAAAAUGAACAGAGUUUGGUAGUGCUAACAAAAAAAACAUCAAAUAAAAGCAAAAUGACUCAUUAAGGGUAAAAUUGUUAUUUGCCAUAAAAAAAAAUCAGUUCUUCCUUCCUUUAUAUGUUGCUGACUGGGCAGAAACAAAAUAGAAAAUGAAAGAAAAGAAAAGGCGAGAGAAAAAGAGAGAAAAGUAAGGGAAAAACAUAAAAAAAAUCCUAGAAAAAAAGAUAAGAAAAGUGAGAAAAUAACCUUAUAAACUUAUAAAGUCCAACUUAUAAAAUAUUAAUCUAAGGAAGAAGCAAGUGAAGGAAGGAGGAAUUGAGAGAGGGAAAAAAUUUAAUUAUUUUAUUUUUCAGUUGACAUGAGAUUGUUAUUUUAUCCCGGUUAAGGGAUUGUUAUAAUAUCAAUUCAAAUUCGAUUAUAGAUGAAUUAUAUUUCACAAAACAUCGAAAGAUGUAACUUUAAUAGUGAGUUUAUUUUUACUUUCACUUUAAUUUUAUAUAUUUUUAAAUUUAUUUUUUAAUAUUUUAGGUAAUGUAUUUGAAUUAAAACUUUACUAUUAACUUUAAAAACUCAUGUACAUUAAUUAAUAAUUUAUCUUAAAAAAAAUAUUAUAUAUUUAUUUAAUAGUGCAGGACAGAAAAAAAAUCUAGCAAAAUUUAUUCUUUCCAACUUUAUUUGUUUUGACUGAAAAAUAAUCUUUUAUUUUUGUACUUCACAGGCAUGUGGUGGCAAAAGUCGAGCACGAUAUAUAUAUAUAUAUAUAUAUAUUUCUUAAGAUACAUAUGGCUGGUGAUUGGCGGAUGAUGGUGUCAUUAAGACUCUUGGUGUGUACCCUCAUCCUUUCUGUUUAUAGUUUAGUCCAUUUGCAGCUUUAAUGGCUACUAUCAGUUGCUUUGGAACCUGAUAUCACUAGUCUCAUUAUGGUACAGACAAGCUCAGGAUGAUCAAUCCUUGAGAAUCCACAUCCAACCAGAAAUAAACCGAAUUUCGAGCAUAAAUGACUCGAACUCGCUGGAAUGCUUUGGCACCUCCUUCAAUCCUAGUUUGGGAAACAGAAACACUAUCACCGUUAGUUUUCACCGAGGAAGACAGCACCCCCAUUCUCUCCUGCUGUGCUGAUGAUGGGGCAUGAGAGAUAGUCCAAAGGAUUUGCCUCACGUUGAAGUAUGCAACUGUCUAUGGUUAGCCUUCUCUUUUGUGAUGCAAGCAGCAACCAAGCUCUGCCUUCACUGCAUAAAGAAAUGAUUGAUUCACGAAGCCUGACUUCUUUGAAUUUGAAAGAUUAGAAUCAUUGGAAGAGAAAGAAGAAAAGGUGUAAAUGACAGCGGAAUGCUAUUAUACCAUCUGCCAAGGUAAUGCCAAGUCUACUUGCGAGGUAUUUAUAUCAUAAUUUUUAAAUAUUAGAUUGUCAGCGCAUACCAAGCAAAGAGCUUCGAUUCACAACGAAAUGAAUCCGUGCUAUGGGUUAUCAUCUGAUAUCAUCAUUCAUCAACAAUUAAUCGAAUGGGUUUAUACAUGAAAUGUUUUUAGUUUCUUAAUCAAUAAUUGAAGUUUUUAAUUGGAAGUCAAAUUAUUCUUAGAGAAUAAUAUAAUUAAACUAAACCUUGGUUAAUUGAUUGCUAGCAAAGGUGUACAUUUACAUGGCUUGAAAAUGAAGCUUAUCUUCCAUUUAAUUUUAUCAAAUAAAUUAUUUAUAGAGUAGUUUUGAGUGAUAUAAAUCAAAUAGGAAUUAAAUCAUGUUAAAACAUUUAAUUUUGUUGUCCCUUUAUAUUACAAACAGCAACAUUACGUAUCAUGUUUAUAAAUUCCAAACCACUCAUUUGAAACUAACGCUUUGUAUUUUUUUUAUAAAAUAAAAUAAAUCCUAACACUGAUGUGGACUAAAAUGUUUUUCAUAUAAAAUAUGAGGAUCAAAAAACUUUCAUGAACAUUUAAAAUAUGAUGUGGACUAACAUUUUUUUUUUGUUAAAAUUAGUUCGGUUUGUACUUUCUAGAUCGUUUUGAUGUGCUGAUAUCAAAAAUAAUUUUUAAAAAAUAAAAAAAACAUUAUUGGCAUACUUUUCGGCACGAAAAGCUAUUUGAAAAACAACAACUACCACACUUCCAAACACCCUCACUUAGUAUAAAAAAGAAAUCAUCACGUCGUUAUUUUCCACUCAGUAUAAAAAAGAAAUCACACGCCUUAGAGGAUAAAUAAGCAAUGCGAAAGUUAAAUAAAUUUAUGAAUUACCAGCAUAAUUCACACUAAUUCCCCUCUCUAACUUGCACCUCAUCAAUUUUUAUUCCUUUACUCUCGAACGAAAAUAAUAAUAUUUAAGUUAUUAAACCCAACUCGAAUUAUAAUUCAAGUAGGGGGUUAACAUAAAUCAAUACAAAGUGAUAUGACUUUAGGAGUUUUUUCAAAAAAACAAAUUAAAAUGAUGUGAACUUUUUUAAAUUAAAUUGAGUUUUAAUUGAUCAAAUAAGUUGGAUUACACCAGGUCAAAUUCUAUCCGAUUUAAUUUAAAAUUCAAUCUAAACUCUUAACUUACCUUCAGUCGGGUUUAAUAACAUAUUGACGUAACUUUAGACAAGUUAAGACAUGUUAUUUGUAUAAUCAGACCAAAUUCUCAAUCUUUAUUUAUCAUAAUAACGAUCCAACCCAUUAAUUUUAAAUGGGCCUAUAAAAACUCUAACUUGCCAUAAAAUCAGCAAUUUUACAUCCUAUUUUAUAAAAGACACUCCAACAUAAUUAAUUAAAAUAGUAUUUGAUAUUGUGGUAAUAAUUAUUUUUUAAAGUAUUUUUUAUUUAAAAAUAUAUUUAAAUAAUUUUUAAUUUUUUAAUUUUAAAAAUUAAUAUUUGACAUUACAUAUUAAAACAAUCUAAAAACAUAAUUUUUAAAAAAAGUUAUUAUUAUUUAAGAAAAACUGUAUCACCAUACAAACAAAUCCAAAAACACAAUUUUUUUAAAACAAUUAUUAUUCUUUUAAAAAAAAUUGUAUCACCAUAAAAACAAAUAAUUUCUAAGAGUGACAGUGAGCAACAGAAAUAAACCAUGGCAGAAACUAAAAAUACCUUUAACGGAAACUGUGCUUCGAUUCACAACGUUUUCAUCCUUGACCAAUGCUUGACAGAGUAGACGACGGGUCAGAACAGAGCUACCAGUCCUGCAUUUCUCGAAGGAUAGUUUUGGAAAUGCUCUAAGACCGUGGCCAUUAUGCUGUGUAUGUUUGAUAAUGCAGUGAAUAUAAUUUUAUAAAAAUAUUUUUCAAUUAAUAAAAUAUUUCUUAAAGAAAUUUUCAAUAAUUUUGUUAAGAAAUUUGCGUGGCCAGACAUUUUAAAGAAUGAUGCUAAAUUUGGGGUUACAUAGGCAGCUGCUGGCUCCUCUUGUAUCUUUUGGGUUAAAGGCAUCGUUUGUUUCCUGCCGUUGUCUAUUCUCCGGUCGUAGAAGCUGACUGCAAUCCUCCGACUCUGUUCUCAUAGUCAGAUGCUUCCUCUGUUUUCUCCUGGCAUUAAAAUUACAGCUCACCCUCAAAUCUUAUUGCCUCUGGUCAUUUUCUUGAAUGGUGCUUGGUGUUGUCUUCUAGCGUUUGCAGUAUCGUAAUUUGCUGGAGUUUUUGUAGUAUUUGAAUUGUGGGUGAUUGAGCUGCAGAAUUUGUGCAAUUGAAUUGAAUUUGUGCUAUGGGUUAUCACGCGAUAUCAUCAUUCAUCAACAAUUAAUUGAAUGGGUUUCUACAUUAAAUAUUUUUAGUUUCUUAAUCAAUAAUUGAAGUUUUUAAUUGGAAGUGAAAUUAUUCUUAGAGAAUAAUAUAAUUAAACUAAAUCUUGGUUAAUUGAUUGCUAGCAAAGGUGUAAAUUUACAUGGCUUGAAAAUGAAGCUUCUCUUCCACUUAAUUUUAUCAAAUAAUAUAAUUUUGAAAUAAAUUAUUUAUAGUAGUUUUGAGUGAUAUAAAUCAAAUAGGAAUUAAAACAUGUUAAAACAUUUAAUUUUGUUAUACCUAGGUCCCUUUAUAUUACUAACAACAAUAUUAUGUAUCGUGUUUAUAAAUUCCAAACCACUCAUUUGAAACUAAAGCUGUGUAUGCUUUUUAUAAAAUAAAAUAAAUCCUAACCUUCAUAUGAGGAUUAAAAAACAUUCAUGAAAAUAUAUGAAAAGCUAUUUUUGUCUCUAUGGGCUAGGUACGAUGUAUUCAGGUAUGGAUAUGGGUCUGGGCUUAGGAUGAUAGAUAUGGGUCCAGUAGGAGCACGAUAUUUUUUAAUGGUAAGGAAUGAGCUAUGCCUACCAGGCUGGUUACUCGGUCCAUUCACCUCUCUACCUGAGGCUUGUAUAGUUUAUUGAAAAAAACAAACUUAUAUCGUUUCUUUUAGAAUUCAUUUCUUUAUAAAGCAUGACAAUGUAACCAAAUUUGCAUUAUCUAUAUAAAAUAAAAGAAAAUAUAUAUUUUCACAAAUUCUACCAUAUUGCUCGACCAAAAUAUUUAUUUUUUGUUUCUAUACAUAUUAUAAUUAGUUACAAAUAUAACACCCAAUUUAAUAAAAUCAUAUGAGCAAAAUUCCAGGACUUUCCAUGGACAAAACCCAAUUUAAUAUAUAUAUAUAUAUAUAUAUAUAUAUAUAUAUUUCUCUACAUAUUCAAUAUAUUCAUCUAAAUGUAUUUAUCUGAAUGCUAUAUUAUCUUAUAAUUUAACUGGGACCAAAGAUAAAUGAUAACAUUUAUUUAAAUGCUAUUUAUGAUUGACACACAAAACCCUGUUUUCAUAGUUAAUUGAAGGAUAAUAAAUGGAAGAAUGACAAAUUGCCAGGUGGAAAGUUAUACCUCAUCACAACAAAUACUUUCCAGCCAAUUAAUUAAUGGCGGUUACAACUAAUUACAACAAAUACUCUUCACUUCUUCUCUAUAGUUAUGUUAAUGGUAAGAAAAGGUUGGAUAUUAGAAUUUUGAAAAAUAAAAUAAAAGAUAAGUGAUGUUCAGAUUAGAACUUGAUAUUUGAUAUAAAAUAUAUAUUUUUUAAUUAAACUUUAAUAACAAGUCAUAAAUCAACUCAAAAAUAGUAAAUAUUGUAAAAAAAAAAUGGUAAUAUUAUACACAAAAAAAGAGACUCAUGAAAUGACAUAAAAAAUAGAAUUUUUGUAUAUUUUUAUCUAUUCAUGAACUUGAACAUGAUUUAUAUUUAUAUAAUCAUACAUUUUAAUUGGAAAAUAAUCAAUAAAGGAAGAAAGAAUCGACUUUAAACAAAUAAAAAGAAAAUAGAAGAUGAAAUAUAAAUCACGUAAGAAUUAAGUCUUCUCGAAGACUAGCUUAAGAGUAAGAAAGAGGCAAAAUCUAUAGGAAUUUAAUUAAUAAAUGUUUCAUGCGUGUUGUUUCGAAUUGUAUAAAUAUAAAGAAAAUACAUUUAUACAUAUUAUAUUAUAAUGAAUAUAUUUUUCUGUGCAAAAUUGUUAUUAUUUUUUCAAAUCAAACCCCCGGUUUGAGUAUUGAGCAUAAAAAGAAUUUGGAUUGUUGAAUCAUUUAAACAAUUAGUGGAUCGCCAAUGAAUCAUUUUAUUAAAAUGAUAUUUUGCUUUUUUAUAAAAAAAUUUAUUAAUAUUGAUUUAACUAAGUUUGUAUCAGAUUUUACCAAAUCAAAUAAAUCAUUACAAAUUCAAUUGAGUAAUUAAGAUUUUAUCUUAUCAAUGUUUUUUUCUAAUUCAAUUUUAAACCUGGUUAAUGCCAGGAUCUGGAGGAUGUGCUUCCUAUAUCAAAUCACCAUGCAGGGAAGAGUUUAAACAUUUUUCAUUUUUCCUAUAUCAAAAAAUUACAUUUCUUAGCAAAACACACGAGUUAUAUAUAUAUAUUUAAACAAAUUACAAAUAAUCUAAUCAAUUGAUUAAAGUUGUGACACCUUAUAGUACGUAGACGACUAUAUAAUACUAUAAGAUAUUUAACAAUAUUUAUUUUUAUGAAGAGUAAUAUGUUGCUUGUCUAUGUAAUUUCUCUUUUAAAUUGGGUUUAAUUUCAAAAUCAACGUGUAACUUUGUACGUAGGGGCAUGUCAUGGGCAGUGUUGGACCAAAUUCUCAAUCUUUAUUCAUAGAGGUGGAUCAUGAUCGAGAUUCGAGCCUAUUAAUUUUAAAUGGAUCUACAAAACCUCUAUUCGGCCAUAAAAAAUAAAAUCUCAGGUGCCCAUCAAUGAUAGGAUCUAUUUUGUAAAAGACAUUUCAACAGUAUUAAAAUAAUGUUUAGUAACGUGAUAUCUGAUAUUUUUAAAAAUAUUUUUUUAUUUAAAUUAUAUAUUUUUAAAAUUUAUAUUUAAUAUUAUUAUAUUAAAAUAAUAUAAAAAUAUAAAAAUAUAUUUUUAAAAAAAAUCUUGGUGUCAAAGUGAGUGAAUAAAAAAAAUAAAUCAUGGCAGAAACCACGAACACCUUUAACAGCAAUGUCGUUUCAGUUUGACAGAGUUGUGUUAAAAAAAAAAUUCCUUCAAUUUGUAUUGACUUUUUAAUGUUUUAAGUUUACAGUGCUCCUAUAUAUAAACAGAGAAGAUGUUCUUAAAAACUAUGGAUUCCUGCUAUAAACAGGACUUAUACAAAUGUGGAAUAAAUCAAUUACUAAACUAUGGAAUAGGACUUAUACAACUGUGGGAUAAAUCAAUUACCAAACUUUUUCUUACAAACUCUCAACUAAAUCACUUUGUAAUUAUACUAACACUUUGAGUCAAGUUAGUGCAAAGAUAUCUUACCCAACUUGUCAAGGGAGCUCUGAAAGUUUUUGCUGAAGACAACUUUUGUAAAGAUAUUCGUGAGCUGAUUCUUUGAUUUGACAAAUGAAAAGUUAAUCACUUAUUAUUUAAGAUUUUGUUUAAUAAAAUGUUUGUCUAUUUCAAUAUGUUUCGUGUGAUCAUGUUAAAUUGGGUUAUAAAAUAUUUUAAUGGCAGCUUAAUUAUCACAGUAUAGGUUCGUUCUUGAUUUGGGAGCAAAACCAAUUUCUGAUAAUAAUCUUCUGAGCUAAAGCAGUUUACGUAGUCCUUUUACCGUCCCUUGAAACUCAACCUCUGUGCUUGACAAGGUAGCUACUUUUUAUUUCUUGCUUCUCCAUGUGACUAAAUUGCCACCAAUAAACGUGAAGUAUGCUCAUUAAUCUCAUGCAUAUUUUGAUUAUUUUGUUGAAUAUUUUAAUCAGGUUUAUGAUAUGGAUUCUUAUAAUAAAAUUUUCAUUUAAUUUUUUUAUUUUCAUGGGGGGUUUUAAUGUAGGGAACAUAGGAAGUGUAAAGGUGGCAACUUUUUUGCUUUAUUUUAUACCGUAUUUAAAGCCAGUGCCUUUGAGGUUUUAUGGCAGCCCAUCAACAAUAUUCUUAGUAGGAUCUUAUCAUUUAUGGUACUAGCCUGUUGGGCCUCCCUUUUCAUUAUUUUAAGCGUAGUUGCCACCCAUCUUUCUGUGGCUCCAUGUUCAUUCUCCAAACCAUUCAUAUAGGUAUCUUAAAUAGUGUAGCUGGAGCUUUACUGGGUAUGCUUUUUAAUAUAUUUUUAAGUAAAAUAUAUUUUUAAAAAUAUUUAAAAAACAAACAUUACUGUACUUUCAAAAACAUAAUCCUCUUGUAUCUGACGCUUUAAAUUCCAACAAUGAGUUACUGAUUAGAUAAUAUCUACAUUCAAUUAAAAAUAUAAUUUCUUGACAGCGAAAUAAAGAAAAAAGUAGCAACCCUGUAAUAUCUAGGUAAUUUCUAUGCUCUUUAAAUUAGGCCUCUAAACUGAGACUGUAAUGAGCCCAUGACAGAGGAAGACAUGAAAGUGUAAUUUCAGAAGACCAUUAUUCAUAUAACAAAUUUAGUAAAUUUAGUAAACUCGUAAAGUUAAACCGAUUUUACUAAUUCUGUACUAGUUAGAUUUGAUUUUAUUAAUUUUAAAUUUUUAGUUAGAUUUAGUAUGUUAAAUAUAUAUUAACUUAAAUUUUACUAAUAACUCAUAAUUUUAACAACCUUGCUUGUAAUAGCUCUUGUGGUGGUUGAUGUUUAAAAAAGAUAAUUGAGAAAUUAUUUUCACUCGUGACUUUUUUGAUUUAAAUAAGUAUUGAAUUAAAAAUAUUUAAUUAAAAUUAUUGUUUUAAUUUAAUUACCACAAAAGAUACUGGUGAAGGUGGAGAGGAUGCAAAAGAUGAUUGGGUAUCCUAUUAAUCGUCAAAACAUCAACUAUUGUGGUCAAUUCUGCUGACUGCUGAGACUAAAAGCCAACCACUUGAAUAAUGGGCAUUAGCUGUUUAGCACUCCUUGGUAAACACUUCAGGCUCCUUUCCCGCCCCUUUCCUCGCUGGUUCCUUAAUAGCUUCAAGGGGUGCGAGCGCCUCGUUCGAGGAUUGAGCAUAAAGGACUAAAAGAGUUCAAUAAAUACUAAAAGACAUAAAGUGAAGUUUUUAUAAUAUUCAUAGCAAUGGUCAUCAGCUAAUUUAUAAUUUAUUUAUCUACUUUAUCAAUGAAAUAAAAGUGAUAAAAGAAAAGGAGAGAAGAAAUAAAGUGAAGUCUUCUUCUGCAUUAUUAGCACAUCACGUGAAAAUAAAGAAUGGCAUAUAAUAAAAGUUAUUCCAAUCAAACCUCCUUUUUCAACCGAUGGGGUCUCUUGUCAAAUAAAGCAAGGACAGACCGAGUAAGAUGUGGGACCUAACUGCACUUUCCUGGCACGCGUAGUUCACGCAUACACAAGCACAUUCAGAAUAGUAUUCAAUUUAAAAACACAAAAAAAAAAUAAAGGAAUAAAAGAAGGAAAAGUGAUCAAAGAAGAAGAGAGAAGAAAUAAAGUGAAGUCUUCUUCUGCAUUAUUAGCACAUCACGUGAAAAGAAAGAUACAAACAAGAUUACUCCAUUUUCCAGUCACUUUUUCAACCGAUGGGGCUUCUUGGCAAAUAAAGCAAGGACAGACCGAGUUGAUGCGCUACGUAACUCCUUUUUCCUGGCCCGCGCAAUUCACGCAUACACAAACACAUCCAGAAUAAUAUUCAUAAAAUUAAUUAACAUCCCGUAAAAAUAUACUUUAAUUUAGAAAAGAUUUUAAAAUGUUAUUUUUCAAAUUAAUAAUAACAAAAUUUUAUAUUAAAUUGGUUCGCUUAAGUUAACCUAUUAGAUUUAUAAUUCAGGUUAUGAAAUUAUAAUACCUAGUUCACAAAUAACCAAAUAUGGUGAAGUUUUUCCAAUCAAACCCUUUUUUUUUUUUAAGAUGUAAUUUCUAGAAAAAUAAAUCAAAGACAAACAGAGUAAAAUUUCAAAAAAUAGAGAAAGAUGGAAAAUCCCACCAAUAUUUAACCCACUUAAAUUGAGUCCAAAUCAUAAAAGCAUCUACAAAGAGUGUGUUAAAUGAAAAGUUAAAAAUUAAAAAAUAUAUAAUUUUGACUCUUUCAUGUUUAUUUUACACACUUCAAAAAAAUAUUAAAUAAAAUAUUAAAAUAUUUUUUUUUCUUAUAAAUACUAUUUCUAAAUAUCUAUCAAAAAAACCAAUACUAAAAAAAUAGAGUCAUCAAAAAAUAAACCAAUUAAAUAUAAUUAUAUGAAAAAAUAUAUUUUAAAUAGUGCAGCCUGAGCUUAAUGGUUAAAAUAAUUUUAUAUUUUUUAUAAUUGUUAACAUCAACACAUUAAAAUCAUUAAAAAUAUUAAAAAAUCAAUAAUUUAAUAUAUUUUUAAAUAAAAUAUAUUUUUUAAAAAAACAUAUAAAUUACUACUAUUAUUUCAAACACACAAUCCUAUUCCAUCUUAAAAUCUGAGCUAUUAGGAUAGUAAAGUUAAUUCGUUAAAUUUACAAUUGUGGUGGUGGGAUAUUAAAAAAAAUCUUAUAUUAAAAUUAAAAAUUUUAAAAAUUCUUGAAUAAAAAAACAACAAAACAAUUAUUCAGGUAAUUGUAUAAAAUAUAAUAAUAUAAUGUAUAAUUUAUAAUUGAUUUAUUUACCUUAUCAGUCUUCUGCUGCAUGAUCACAUCACGUGAAAAGCUUGGCAUUUAGUGAUGUUUUUCCAAUCAAACCUCCUUUUUUCAAAGAUGGAAUCUCGAGGUAAAUAAAUCAAAGACAAAACCGAGUAAAAUGGAGUCCAGAGCAUAAAAGAAUCUCCAAUGAAGCUGCUAAAUGAAUAACUAAAAAUAAUAAUAAAAAAAAAAUUGUUUUUGUUUGUUUUUUAUAUUUCAAGAAGAAAAUCAAAUAAAUCGUUAAAAUAUUUUUUUUUCACAUAAAUAUUAUUUUUAUAUAUCUCUCAAAAAAAUCAAAAUUAAUAAAAUAAAACCAACAAAAAAAAGCCAAUUAAAUCUAGGUAUCUAGAAAAAAAUAACUUUAAAAUCAUUAAAAAAAAAAAAUGUUUAUUUAUUUCACUUUAUCUCGAAAAACAGUAACUUUAAAAUCAUUAAAAAAAAUAAAAUGUUUAUUUAUUUCACUUUAAUAGAAUUGGCUUUUCAAUGUAUUUUUUCUAUUGGAAUAUAUAUUGUAAAAAAAAUAUAUUUAUAUUAUUUAAAAUACUAUUUUAUUAGUUUAUUUUUUUAAAAUAAUAUUUUUUAUUAAAGAUACUCCAACAAGGGCCGAGAGAGCAAAGGCUUUUACGAGUUCUGUGUUCCGUAUACUUCUCAAGGGGAAAAAAAUAAUGUUUUGUUAGAGAUUUGUUUUUGAUAGAAUUGUUAGCGAUCUUAGCCGAUGCAUCUGGAUUAUAAUUUUUAGCAUUUAUACUAUUUUAUAGCGCUAAUAUCUUAAAAAAACUUAUUUUCUAGCUUUUUUUUCAUGGUAUAAUAAAAUAUUAAAAAAUAUUUUUCAACUCAUUAUCCUUAAUACAAUUAAAUUUCAUAGAAUAGUCUAUUUUUUAGAAAUAUAGUUUACUAUGAGAUUUAUUGGAUAAAAGAAAUUCACUUUGUAACAAUGCACUAGAAACUAAAAAAAAAUAAGCUAAUGAUCAUUUAAAAAUAUAGUAUAUUGGAAUCAUCUUGCUGAAUAGGUGAGUUUGGGAGUUUGGUUGCUUAACAGGCGAGUGAGGGUUAAAUGUAUCCAAUUAAAUAAUAUCUACAUUCAAUUAAAACUUAUGGUACAAUUACUUGACAGCAAAAUAAAGAAAAGCAGGAACCCUGUAAUAUCUAGGAAAUUUCUAUGCUCUUUGAAUUAGGUGCCCAAACUAAGGCUAUAAUGAGCCCUGAAUUUACACAGAAGAAAUUUCAUGGGAAAUGGGUUGAUGUCAGAGGCAGACACGGAAACGUAAUUUCAGAAGACUAUGACUCAAAUCAGUGGCUGAAAUCCAAUCACUCAAGGGAUGGUGACACGUUGUCUUGAGUGGGAGACAACUGGUCUUCAGUACAAAGAGAAACAACGUUUUUUUUUUAUUAUUAUUAUUAUUAUUAAAAGCGAGUGUACGAGUUACUUCCAUGUUUUUUAAUUAAUUUUAAAAUUAAUAAUUAUAUAAAUUUUUAAUAAUUAUAAAAAAGUUUAAAUUCAUGAAAAGAUUUGAAUUCAUAAUUAUUAAAAUACAAAUAUAUUUUCCUGAGUGUCUUUGCUCUCGUGACAGCUCACGAUGGUGGGGGGUUUAAAAAAAAAUUUAAAAAAUAUUUUUACUUGUGAUUUAUUUAAUUUAAAUAAGUAUUUAAUUAUAAUUAUAAUUAACGAUAUAUUGUAACUAAAAUUACUAUAAAAAAGAACAUAGUGAAGGUGGAGAGGAUGAGAAUAAUGAUUGGAUAUCUUAAUAAUUGUAAAAAGAAAGUAUUUUUUUAUGGUGAAGUUAUUUGUAUAUGAGAAAAGACUGAGUUUUGUAGCUCAGAAAAAAUAAACAUGUUGAUAUUGCUUUUUAAUAACCCAUGAAUGGACCGUAAAUUGCAACGGGUUCACAAACACAAACAUGUGCUUCACAUGUAACCAAACUUAUUGUUAUCUGCAUUAAAAGCAAAAGAUGCUAAAAACACACACAUUUGAUCGUUGAAGAUGUUUUUAAAUUGUUUUCUUAAUUAUUUUUCAUUUAAAAAAAUAUGAAUCAAAGAAGUUUAAUAAUUAUAAUUAUUAAAUAUUUUGAAAUAAAAUGAUCCAUCUAUAUUAAAAAAAAACAUCAUUCCCACGUGUGGAAGAUAAAAUUAAUCAACCUAAUCUUAUUGGAUUGCAUUUUAUUAAAUCAAACCAUCAGUAUCUUUAAUGCAGGAUAUUUUUGUUUUUCCAAUUCAAGUAUACUUUUUAAUAUAAUAAAUUUUUUUAACCUAUUUUUUUAUUAUUAUUUUAGUAUCAUUUUGUUAUUUCUAAUAGUUUGUGGUUACCAGUUUAGUCCUGAAUUCAUUAUUAGAACCAUCAAUUUUAAAAAUCAAUGUAAGUUGAUUUUUAUUAUUUUUUAUUUUUUAAAAUUAAUUUAUUAAAAAAAAAUUCCAUGAUUUCUUUUUAAGAGACUAACCCUUCAUCGACAAACACUAAUGUACCCUGAAAAACAUAAUCUUAUUACAUCUGACGCUUUAAAUUCCAACAAGGAGCACCUACACAUCGAAAUAAAGAAAAGUACUGAGUGCCUUGGCGGUGGGAGGAGCUCUGCUCCUGAGUUCGAGUGUUUACAUGUAUAUCUAUCAUUCUCGUGGUGUUUUAUAUAUCUAUUGGGUUUAUAAAGUAUUCAGUGGGAUUAGUUGUGGUGCGCGCAAACUGACCCGAACAUCCAAAUAAAUAAAUAAAUAAAGUAGAAACCCUGCAUGUGGGAAAUUUUUGUUAGGCCUCCAAUCUGAGGCUGUAACGAGCCCUGGAUCUACACACAAGAAAUUUCAUGGGAAAUGGGUUGAUGUCAUAGGGAGACAAGGAAGCGUACUUUCAAAAGACCAUGAGACAAAUCAACGGCUGAAAUCCAAUCACUCAAGGGAUGGUGACAUGUUACCAUGAGUGGGAGACUGCUAGUCUCCAUCUAAAUGUUUAAAGAUGACUGGGUAUCUUAGUAAUUGUAUAACAAUUGAUUUUUUUUGCUGAAGUUGUCGGUGUGGAUGAGAAAAUACUGAGUUUGUAGCUUAGUAAAAACAUGUUGAUGUUGAUGUUACUUUUUAUUAGCUCAUGGUUGGCCCGUAAAUUAUAAUGGGUCCCACAAUCACAAACCUAUGAUUCACAUGUAAUUUAUGUUUUACAACUUAUUUUUAAAAUUAUUUUUUAUAUAUAUUUUUAUACCAUUUUUAUUUUAAAAAUUUUAAGUUUAAAAAAUAUUAUUUUAAUAUAUUUUUAAAUAAAAAAUACUUAAAAAAAAAAUUAAUAUCAGACACAGUGAAUGUUUUAUAAAAUUUUACAAUCGCUUUUACAUUUUGUUUAGAUCACAUUUGAAAAUGCGGUACACUACAAUAAAGUCCGUUAUAUGAUUAAGGGUAUGUUUGGUAUUGCGGUUGCUGUUGUGAUUGUAAUUAUGGUUUUAAAAAAAAUUGUUUUAUAAAAAGUAAUUUUAGUUGAGGUUGGUUUGAAAAAAUAUAUGUUUGGUUAAAACUGUAGUUGAAAUUGAGGUUGAACAAAAAAUAGUUUAAUGUGUUUGGUUAAAAAAAUGUUUUUCAAAUUGAUGUUAUAAAAUCAUUAAUAUAUAUAUAUACUAAUAUUAAUUAUUUUUAAUUUAAAUAUUGUAGAUUUAACUACUGUUAUUACAUCAUGAAAUAAAUAAUAUUAAUAUCAAAUAUUUUUUAUUAUUAGAUUAAAAUAUAUGUAAUCUCAUUACAUAUGAAAUCUAUCAAACAAGGACUAUAUUUUUCAUGGUUUCUUAAGCGUGCAACAACAAAAACUGAUUUUUUAAAUUUAUAUAGUGUUAUUAAAUAAUAAAGAUUGUGAUAUAUUUAUUAUUGAAAUUGCGAUCAAAUUUCAUAAAUGCUACGUCAUCAUGCGAUAUCUUUCUAAUUUAUAUAGUGUUAUUAAAUAAUAUUAAAUACUAGUUUUUCGAGUAAAACAAUUUAAAAAAAUAUAUAUAAUUUCACUACGUACAAAAGUUAUUCGACAAAAACUACAGUUUUCAUGAUUUUUUGAGCAUGUAAUAAAAUUAGGUAAAAUAUUAUCACGAAUAAAAUUGAGAUUACAGUACGAGUAAAUUUAAUUCACCUUAAACUAAUUUUUUUAAAAAAAAUAUCGUUUACUAUUAACUGCACUGGUUUUUUAGGGGGGAAAAUAAACUUUGCUCACCGGUUUUUUUUUUUAAAAAAAUAAAUAAAUAAACUUUUCUUACAGAUUUUUUCUUUUUUUAAAAAAAGAAGACAUGGUGACAAUGGAGCCAUGCUCCACUGUUAAGUGGUUGUUACCCACGAGAAGCAGUAAAAAUAACGUGGACCCUAUCAAGCAAAAUCAAUCUUGCUUGAUUACCAAACAUUAAAAUAUGUGGCUGCGAGUAAACUCGCCACACUACCAAACAACAUCUAAAGUCUUUAAUUGUCUUGCAUUUAUCUUUAAAACUGCUAUAAGAAUUAAUUAAUUGUGUCAAUUCAAUUCUUUCGAUUGACAUUGAUGCCAAACAUGUUAAUUCAUGAUAUAAUUAAGCAAUUCAAUACAAAUUUACUAAUAUAAUUUAUUUCGGCUUAAACCUUUGAAUAAAGCAAAAUGCAGAGGUUGUGAAAGUGAAAUACCUUAAUAAUUUUUAUGCUUUACAACUCUAGGAGCCACACAAAAUAUAAUGCGUUUGUUACUAUUUAUUUGUUAAAAAGUAUUUUUUUUAUUAAAAAAUGAUUUUUUAAAAAAUAAAUUGAAAAAUAUUUUUUAAUAUUUGAUUAUUUUAUAUAAAACAAGCCAAAAAAUAUUUUUUUAAUUUUCUUCUCAAAUUUAUUAAAAGAAUAAGAAACAAAUAUUUCAAAUAAAAAUAUUGAAGGAAGAUGAAAUUAAAAAAUAUAUAUAUUUUUAUAAAUUAUUUUAAAUAAAAUAAAUAAUAAUUAGAAGAAUAAGAAACAAAUGAAAAAUUAAAAAAUUAAAAAAAAAUAAAACAGAAAUAAAUAAUAAUCAAAAUAAAAAAUUAAUACAAAAAUAAUAUUAAACCAAUAAUUUAAUUUAAAAAAAAACAAAAUAUAAUUUAUAAUUUAUAAUUUAUUUAUUUGCUUUAUCAAUGAAAAGUGAUGGUAGGAGGGAGAGAGAGAGGAAAUAAAGUGAAGUCUUCUGCUGCCUGAUCACAUCACGUGAAGAGCUUGGCAUUUAGUGAAGUUUUUCCGAUCAAACCCACUUUUUUCAAAGAUGGAAUUUAUUGGAAAAUAAAUGAAAGACAAACCGAGUAAAAUGGAGUCCAGAGCAUACAAGAGCCGAGAUUGAAACAGGAAAUGCAAGAAAAAGAAGAUGGGCCCUUGUUUUCUCUUUUUACGGCCGGCGACCGGAUAUAAAAAGGGAGGAGAUGAAGCUUUCAAAUUAUUUUCAAUUUUGCGGUCACUUAUUGUGUCCAUGUCAUUUUGUGUAAUUGCCCAGCUACCGGUACUAUUUUAACACUGUUAAAAGUCUAAAUCAUCAAUAUUUCCCCAAUUUAUCUCUAAAAAAAAUUCACUUCAAUUAAUAGCAUUUUUUUAUUAUUUCUUAUGUCAAUGUUUACCUCUUUUUGAUAAACUCGUAUAUUUUUGUACCAGAGGUCUAAAAUUAUUCUGUCCACUUAUUACUUAUUUAAAUUUAUUAGAAUGUUUUAAAUAACUUUUUUAAAUUUUAAUCCCAGAGUUUACAUGCAUAAUACAUGAGUUAUAUAAAUUAUGAUUCAAAAUAUUGUUAUAACUAAAUUAAAAGAAAAAUUCAGAGUUAAUUUCUUGAAUAUUAAGUUUUCUGAUUUUUCUAUAUAAUUAAUUUUUUAAGUUGAUUUGAUUAGUAUUAUUAUACUUUUCUCAUUCUCGAUAAAAGAAAAAAGAAAAAACCAGAAGAGUAUUUUCUUUCUAUUGAAAAUAUUUGUGGUUAGAAGAAAGUAAUUUUCACUGGAGUGUCGUUUUGGGAUGCAACAUGAACUUGACCUGUCUAAUUUGUACGGCAUGAGAAGAUGUUGCUUUACAUGGCUUCCUCCUUAAAAAAAUUCCAUCACAUUUGAGAAUUUUGUUAUAAAAAAGAUAUCUCUUUUAAAGAAGAAAAGUGAUACCUAAAAUUUAUAAAUGAUCUAAACUCUUAAUUUUUAAUCGAUGUAAAAUGUUAGAGUAUCAUGUUCCUGAAAAAAUCUUUCUAAGUGUAUAAUAUGUUGCAUUUGGGGCAAAAUUAAUAGUUUUGAAUGUUUUUAUUACUGAAACUUUUUUUUUUCUCAACCUCUUUUUCUCUCUCUUCUUGUCAAAUACAAAAGGUUUUUUUUUUAAUUUUUUAAAUAAUUUUAUUUUUAUUUAUUUUAUUUUUAUCUUUUGUAGAUUUGUUUUUUUAUUUAUUUUGUUUUUUAUCGUUUGAUUUUAUUUAUUUUUUUAUUAAACAUUAACUUUAUUUUUAUUUAUUAUUUUUUUAAUUAAACAUCCUUUUUAAUUUAUCUCUUAAUAUUUAAUUUUAAUAUCAAAUUUAAUUAGUCCUAUUUUAUCUUACACUUUAAAUUCCUACAAGUACCCGAUCAAACAAUAUCUGCAUUCAAUUAAAACUUAUGGUACAAUUACCUCAUAGCGAAAAAAAAAAAAAAGUAGAGACCAACUAAGAAAUUUAUGUGCUGUUCCCAGCUAUGUUGCUGACAUUGGACAAGAGAGACUUCUUCAGCCACCGAUAAAAUUAUUUUUGUUGACUUUUUGUGCAGUUUGUCACUUUGCUUCGAUCUUUCUCUCUUUGCACCACAAACACUUGGACAUGGUAGAUACCAAGCACGGUUUUGCUGUCAAUGUACGAUACCAUAUUUGACAAUAUCUUUUUUUUUCUUUUUUCUUUUUUAUGAAGAGUAGUAUGUUGGUUAUCUAUGUAUGUUUUUUAAAAAAUCACAUAUAUAUUUAUCUAAAAUUAUUGAUAUUUAAAAAAUUACAUUAUUUUUUUAAUAAUUCGUUCCGCUGUUCUUUUAGAAUUAAGCGAAUAUUAUGCAAAGCUUCAAGUUUUGUGUAAUUGUUUUUAAUACAAGAGAGUUUAACCAUUUUAAAAUGUUUAAUGAGUUAUUUAAAAUAUUGAAAGUAAUGUACAAUAACUAAUUUAUAAUUUUAUCAUUGCUCUUGCUUUAUUAUAGGUCAAGUCAAGAUUUUCUUAAAAAUAAAAAAUUAUUUAAAUUGUGAAUGUUUUAAUUUAUUCUGGUAAAACAAAUUUAAAUUGUGUGGUGAUUUAACUUGAUUGAAUUUGUAGUUUAAAAAACAAUCUAGAUAACCAGUAAAAAUAUAAUUUAACUCGUAAAAAAUUUCAAGAUUACAUAUAUUUUUUUAAUAUUAAGAUAACAACAAAUUAAUUGAUUUGGGUCAACUCAAUUUAACUUAUUAAAUUCAUAACCCGAGUUAUGAGAUUAUGAUAACCAUGUAGAAAAUAAAUUAUUAAGUCUAAUUCUCAACUACCAAAUAUUAAAAGAUAAAAUUAAAAUAAAUAAAUAAACCAUGUGGAGAUUGAUUCGAUGUGACUUAAUUGAUUUAGCUUGUUCAAAAACAACCCGGAUAAUCAGUAAAAAUAUAAUCUGACUUAGAAAAAAAUUCAAGAUGAUACUUUUUUUCCAAUACAAAGAUAAUAAAGUAAUAGAUUGAAUUGGGUUAACCAGAGUUAACUUGUUAAAUUUUUUAUCUGGGUAUAAGACUGUGAAAUCUAAUUCCUAUUCAACUAAAUAUUUAAUGGUAUAAUUGAAAAAUAAAAUCAAUUAAAAAAUGAUCUAAAAAUAUGAACAUAAUUAACAUGUCAAGUUCAUAACCUAUGUUAUAAUAAAGAUACAAUCUUAUAGAAAAAAAAAAUCAAAAUAAAUUAUGAAGUUCAAUCUUAAAUAACCAAAUUUUAAAAGAUAAAUUUUUUUAAAAAGAACGUAAAAAUGACCCGAGUAAAUCCACCAAACUCAUAACUCGUUAUGAGAUCGAGAUAAUCUUAUAUAAAAAAAAAUUACAUGAUUUAACUCGUCAAAUCUAUGACUUUGGUAACAAGACCAAGACAACCUCUUAAAGAGUAAAUAAAAAUAAAUUAAAAGUGCAAUCCCUAAUUGACCAUGUCAAACUCGAUGUGAAUGAUGCAAUUUCUAAAAAUUUAAAUUAAAAAAUAACAUAAAAAAUAAUUUAGACCAACCCGUCAAGCAUCAUUAUUAGAUUACGAGGCUAGGAUAACAUAAUAAAAAUAAAAUCAAAACAAACCACAAAGUCUAAAUUCUAAUAAAAUAUAUUAUUAAAUAAUAAAAUUGAAGAAAAAAAAUUAAUUAAAAGAAAUUCGAGUCAAUUAGGCUAACUUGCUAAGCCUGUGAGUUAGGUUAUAAAACAAAAAUAACCCAAUAAAAAGUAAUUUCACUAUUGAAGGACUCGUGAUCUACGUCAUGAAAUCAACAUAACCUCUUACAAACAAAAUAAAAAAAAAACAACUCAAUUUAAUUUGGAUUAAAAUGUCAAAACCUCCACCUCUAAUCAUAAAACUAGGAUAAUUAUAUAGAAAAUAAUUUGAAAUAGAUUAUGAAAUUCCAUUCCCAACUGACAUUAUAUCAAAUGAUAAAGUUAGAAAAAAAAUUCAAUUAAAAAAAUAUAAAAUAUAACCCGAGUCAAUUUAGGCUAAUAUGUUAAGUAUUAUUUCCAAUUUAUGAGGUUAGAAUAAUCUAAUACAAAACAAAUAAAACAAAAUAUGAAACUUAAUUUUUAAUUAAAAGAUAAAAUUGUAAAAAAAAUUUAAUUAAAAAAAAUCAAGUUAAGUGAGUGAAUCCAUUAAAUCUACAAUUUUUAUUAUAAAAGUGAGACAACUUAAUAAAAAUAAAUUAAUAUUAAAAUAAAAAACAUUCAAUAAAAAAAACACUCAUUCAGAUAAUUGUAUAAAACAUAAUAAUAUAAAGUAUAAUUUAUGAUUUAUUUAUUUAUUUUAGCAUUUAGUGAAGUCUUUCCAAUCAAACCCCUUUUUUUUUUUUAUAAUUUAUAAAAAAUAAAAAUAUUUUAUUUUAAUAAAUGUUUAAAUAAAAAACAAUAAGAGACAACCGUGACCACUUAAAUGGACUCCUAAGCACACCAAGUUAAGAGUUAAAGAGCCGAGAGAGAAAAAGCUUUUGCCAGUUCUUUACACAUUCUUUCCCCUUCUGUCACCUGAACAAAAUCCCCUCUUCUUCUUCUUGUUUGUUUACUCUUCCUUCGUUACUUUGCAAAGAGGAGAAACCAUGGCCGGGGCUUUAGUAGGAGGAGCUUUUCUUUCUUCUUUCCUUAAUGUUUUGUUCGACAGGAUGGCCUCUCCCCAGGUGAUUGCCUUCUUCAGAGGCCAAAAAGUCAACGAUAGUAGUCUGCUGCAGAACUUUGAAGAAAACAAUGACAUCUCUCAGGGUGGUGCUUGAAGAUGCUGAGGAGAAGCAGAUAACAAGUUUAACUGUGCGGGAUUGGCUGGUCGAUCUUAAAGACGCUGUCUAUAACGCCGACGACUUCUUGGAUGAGAUUGCUUAUGAAGCUCUACGGCAGGAGUUGGAAGCUGAAGAGCAAACCUUCACAGGUCAGACGCAGAAGCUUCUUUCUUUCAUUAACCCACUUGAAAUACUGGGGUCGAGAGAGAUCGAAGAAAAAAUAGAAGUCCUUUUGCAGGAUCUAGAUCCCUUAGUUGCAGGAAUGGCAGCCCUUGGUUUGAACAACCGCAAUGUAGAAAAUCCAUCAUCGCAUAGAACACCAACAACUUCUCUCGUGGAUGGAUCUGGUGUUUAUGGCAGAGAUGAUGACAGGGAAGCAAUACUGAAGUUGCUUCUAUCAAAGGAUGCAAAUGGAGGAAACCCUGGUGUCGUCCCCAUUAGGGGAAUGGGCGGGGUUGGUAAAACCACGCUUGCUCAGCUUGUAUACAAUCACAGAAGAGUACAGAAGCGGUUCGACCUCAAAGCUUGGGUUUGUGUUUCAGAAGAUUUCAGUGUUUUGAAGUUAACCAAGGCGAUCCUUGAGGGGUUCGGUUCAAAGCCUGCUUCUGAUAAUCUGGAUAAGCUCCAGCUUCAGUUGAAGGACAGAUUGGAGGGAAAGAGAUUCUUGCUUGUUUUAGAUGACGUUUGGAAUGAAGAUUAUGCUGAGUGGGACAAGUUGCUUACCCCCCUGAAGUACGGAGCACAAGGGAGUAAGAUUCUUGUCACAACACGCAAUGAAAGUGUAGCAUCAGUCAUGAGAACUGUUCCAACUCAUCAUCUAAAAGAAUUGACGGAAGACAGCUGCUGGUCCUUGUUUGCCAAACAUGCAUUUCGUGGUGAAAAUCCCAAUGCUCAUGAAGAGUUGCUAGAGAUUGGAAGAGAAAUAGUGAGAAAGUGUAAAGGCCUUCCUCUAGCUGCGAAAACACUCGGAGGUCUGCUACGCACCAAAAGAGAUGUCGAGGAGUGGGAGAAGAUAUUGGAAAGCAAUCUAUGGGAUUUACCCAAAGACAAUAUCCUCCCAGCUUUGAGAUUAAGUUAUCAUCAUCUCCCGUCACAUCUGAAGCAAUGUUUUGCUUAUUGUGCCAUAUUUCCAAAAGACCAUGAAUUUCAAAAGGAUGAAUUAGUGCUCUGUGGAUGGCAGAGGGCUUCUUAGUCCCUCUGCAGUAGAUGAUG
RNAcentral lists this long non-coding RNA (33631 nucleotides) under Populus tremula. RNAcentral describes it as "long non-coding RNA (PTRE_LNC001922)". The record is from RNAcentral. Lineage: Eukaryota; Viridiplantae; Streptophyta; Magnoliopsida; Malpighiales; Salicaceae.